Non-coding RNA from Salmo salar (Atlantic salmon), 1274 nucleotides. Lineage: Eukaryota; Metazoa; Chordata; Actinopteri; Salmoniformes; Salmonidae. The record is from RefSeq and is a predicted model, not a curated record.
ACCCCUCACACCUGAGAGAGCUUGAUUUGAGUAACAAUUACCUGAAGUAUUCAGGAGUGAAGCUUCUCUCUGCUGGACUGGGGAAUCCCCACUGUAAACUGGAGACUGAGACUUUGACCAGAUACUAUUGCAUCUAAAGAUCAACUGUACCUAGAACAUAGAUACAGAGCCACUUGUCAUCAGGAAGCUGCUCUCUCAGCACAACGGAAAAUAUCUCAAUGACUUGACAUGUUCUGGUUGUGAAUUCAGACUACAAGAAGUCAGUGCUCGAAAAUGAUUCUCUCUGGGAAGAGAGAGGAGGGGGCCCCUGCCUCUAAAAUGAGUCUCUCUGGUGAACAUGACACCAAAGCUAAGAGAUCGAGGCACAGACACGGUCUCAAUGGGGAAAGCUGAGCUGACUACGCUGACUGUGCUAUGAUGUGUGUGUUUACAAAGUGAGUUGUGUGACGUGUAUAUUGUUCGUAGUUAGUUGUUAGUCAUGUUGUAUGCUGUCUUUGUGUAUAGUUAGAUUGUAAUAUGUAAUAUGAUGGAUUGUAAUAUGUAAUAUGAUGGAUUGUAAUAUGUAAUAUGAUGGAUUGUAAUAUGUACCAGGUAGCAGAUACAUGUUCAUCCACUCCUUCCCUUGUUAACAGUCUUGUAACAGUCUUCAUUUCUUGUGACAAUAAAAUCACUUUUACAUACAUUUCAAAUAUAUACAUAUAUAUGUAGUGUUUUGGAAUGAACUAUUCUUAUGUUUCCUCAUUUGAGCUCAUAGUAGAUGAGAGACAUAAUGUUUGUCUCUGUUGUGUUGAAGCCCAAUCAAGCAGGAGAGACCAGCCUCCCCUGUACCCAGCUGUGUGUCCAUGAAGAGUGAUAAGUCUAUGGGUAUACCUAUAGUGUUUAGAGAGGGAGACUUUUCUACUGAACAAAGGUAAGAAGAACUCAUGGGUCAUGGUCAGUGAGUUAAGCAACACUGUCUCUAGUCCUUUCUUCUCUCCCAUUAAUAUAUUUUGUGUCUGCGUGUGUGUGUGUGUGUGUGCACUCCCUGGAUGAAGAGAUGUAAUGUGUUGUCAACAGAGACCAACAGGAGAGAUCAGAGUCAGAGAUUCUCAGUGGUCAGUCUUCCCAGAGUCAUCAAACAGACCUGGACUCCAUAUUCACUUUGCUUGAAGAGAAAAUUAUGACAUUUGUGAAGAACGAGCUGAAGAGGUUCAAGAGGAUUCUUAGUCCAGAACUCCCAGAAGGCUUUGAGAGUGUGAAGCAGGAUAAGGAAGUGGUGGAUGCUGAAGAUGAGA